UACGUAGGCAGCAAGCGUUGUUCGGAAUUACUGGGCGUAAAGAGUGUGUAGGCGGUUUUCUAAGUUUGGUGUGAAAUCUCCCGGCUUAACUGGGAGGGUGCGCCGAAAACUGGAAGGCUUGAGUGUCGGAGAGGAUAGCGGAAUUCCUGGUGUAGCGGUGAAAUGCGUAGAUAUCAGGAGGAACACCUGCGGUGUAGACGGCUAUCUGGACGGCCACUGACGCUGAGACACGAAAGCGUGGGUAGCAAACAGG
This 253-nucleotide ribosomal RNA is filed under the name uncultured bacterium. Its description in RNAcentral is "partial 16S ribosomal RNA". It matches the Rfam family "Bacterial small subunit ribosomal RNA", at positions 524 to 776 of the family's 1533-position model. The record is from RNAcentral.